AUUGAACGCUGGCGGCAUGCCUUACACAUGCAAGUCGAACGGUAACGGGUCUUCGGAUGCUGACGAGUGGCGAACGGGUGAGUAAUACAUCGGAACGUGCCUAGUAGUGGGGGAUAACUACUCGCAAGAGUGGCUAAUACCGGAAGAGAUCGACGGAUGAAAGCAGGGGAUCGCAAGACCUUGGGCUUCUUGAGCGGGCGGUGGCAGAUUAGGUAGUUGGUGGGAUCAAAGCUUACCAAGCCAAAGAUCUGUAGAUUGUCUGAGAGGACGAUCAGCCACACUGGGACUGAGACACGGCCCAGACUCCUACGGGAGGCAGCAGUGGGGAAUUUUGGACAAUGGGCGCAAGCCUGAUCCAGCAAUGCCGCGUGCAGGAUGAAGGCCUUCGGGUUGUAAACUGCUUUUGUACGGAACGAAAAGCCCCGGGUUAAUACCCUGGGGUCAUGACGGUACCGUAAGAAUAAGCACCGGCUAACUACGUGCCAGCCGCCGCAGUAA
Molecule: ribosomal RNA, 498 nt
Filed under: uncultured bacterium
Lineage: Bacteria
Description: partial 16S ribosomal RNA
Rfam family: Bacterial small subunit ribosomal RNA
Source: RNAcentral